GCUCUGGUCCUCCCGCAACACUAACUUGUGAACUCGGUCAGGCCUGGAAGGGAGCAGCCGCAGCAGGCGACGUGUGUGCCGGGAUGUGGCUGGGGCUUCC
Molecule: signal recognition particle RNA, 100 nt
Filed under: Vibrio crassostreae
Lineage: Bacteria; Pseudomonadati; Pseudomonadota; Gammaproteobacteria; Vibrionales; Vibrionaceae
Also listed under: 1 other name
Description: SRP_bact
Rfam family: Bacterial small signal recognition particle RNA
About the family: The signal recognition particle (SRP) is a universally conserved ribonucleoprotein involved in the co-translational targeting of proteins to membranes.
Source: RNAcentral